GAGUUGUAGUCCUGUAAGCGCGCGGAGCCCGUCGGGCGCCUAUGGAACUCGACCCGCAGGCCAAAGGGGCUCCGUUGCAAGGAAGAAGUGCGGGGUCCCGCCGCCUCCUAGACCGAGAUCGCGGUGAGCUGGCCGCGGCGCACAAUGGGCACGGCCUGGGCGGCGGCGUCCGUACUAUCGCCCUGUGCCUGCGGAUCCCGGAGCCAGCUGGUCCACCAGAAGUCUGUGUUCUGCCUGUCCCUGCAGCACGGAGGGCUGGGCUUUAUACCUGUGCCAAGGACACCAACGGCAGCAUCAGCAAGUCCGUGUUGUCUCCCAAAUAAGUGGUGUUCUCCAACAAGCUUUUAGCAGUAAUAAAGCUGACAUUUUUAUUCUCAUA
Long non-coding RNA from Homo sapiens (human), 379 nucleotides. Ensembl annotates it as HDHD5 antisense RNA 1. Its record names the gene HDHD5-AS1. The record is from Ensembl. Lineage: Eukaryota; Metazoa; Chordata; Mammalia; Primates; Hominidae.